RNAcentral lists this non-coding RNA (326 nucleotides) under Deltaproteobacteria bacterium. Lineage: Bacteria; Pseudomonadati; Myxococcota; Myxococcia. The record is from RNAcentral.
ACGCGAAACUACGGCGCUGGUGCCCGCAAGGGCAAAAAGGGAAUCCCGUAAGGCUGCCUUUAAAAGUCAGGAAUUUUUUCUGAGGUCAAGGAAGGGCGGAAAUAAAAAGCGCAGCAUAUAUGUGAAUAUGUCAGCAUUUUUAUUUUUGUCCUGACACAGAGAUCUGGAAAAAUAACGAUUUUUAGAGGUAGCCGUAAAACCGGGAGCUGCCCCGCAACUGUUAGCGGCGACGAAAUCUUGAAGUCCACUGGCCAAAGAGCCGGGAAGGUCAGGAGAGUAGGGUGACCCGCUUAAGCCAGGAGACCUGCCCGCGCCUUUAGCAGACC